This 388-nucleotide ribosomal RNA is filed under the name uncultured bacterium. RNAcentral describes it as "bacterial SSU rRNA". It matches the Rfam family "Bacterial small subunit ribosomal RNA", at positions 28 to 417 of the family's 1533-position model. The record is from RNAcentral.
GACGAACGCUGGCGGCGUGCUUAACACAUGCAAGUCGAGCGGUAAGGCCCUUUCGGGGGUACACGAGCGGCGAACGGGUGAGUAACACGUGGGUGACCUGCCCUCAGCUCUGGGAUAAGCCUGGGAAACCGGGUCUAAUACCGGAUAUGACUCCAUGACGCAUGUUGUGGGGUGGAAAGCCUUGUGCGGCUGAGGAUGGGCCCGCGGCCUAUCAGCUUGUUGGUGGGGUGANGGCCUACCAAGGCGACGACGGGUAGCCGGCCUGAGAGGGCGACCGGCCACACUGGGACUGAGACACGGCCCAGACUCCUACGGGAGGCAGCAGUGGGGAAUCUUGCGCAAUGGGCGAAAGCCUGACGCAGCAACGCCGCGUGAGGGAUGACGGCCU